RNAcentral lists this ribosomal RNA (254 nucleotides) under uncultured bacterium. Its description in RNAcentral is "partial 16S ribosomal RNA". It matches the Rfam family "Bacterial small subunit ribosomal RNA", at positions 524 to 776 of the family's 1533-position model. The record is from RNAcentral.
UACGGGGGGGGCAAGCGUUGUUCGGAAUUACUGGGCGUAAAGGGCUCGUAGGCGGCCAACUAAGUCAGACGUGAAAUCCCUCGGCUUAACCGGGGAACUGCGUCUGAUACUGGAUGGCUUGAGUUUGGGAGAGGGAUGCGGAAUUCUAGGUGUAGCGGUGAAAUGCGUAGAUAUCUGGAGGAACACCGGUGGCGAAGGCGGCAUCCUGGACCAACACUGACGCUGAGUGAGCGAAAGCGUGGGGAGCGAACAGG